UACGUAGGGUGCGAGCGUUAAUCGGAAUUACUGGGCGUAAAGCGCGCGUAGGCGGCUUUGCAAGUCGAGUGUGAAAUCCCCAGGCUUAACCUGGGAACUGCAUUCGAGACUGCAUAGCUAGAGUAUGGGAGAGGGAAGUGGAAUUUCAGGUGUAGCGGUGAAAUGCGUAGAGAUGUGGAGGAACACCGAUGGCGAAGGCAGCCCCCUGGGUCAAGAUUGACGCUCAUGCACGAAAGCGUGGGGAGCAAACGAGG
Molecule: ribosomal RNA, 254 nt
Filed under: uncultured bacterium
Lineage: Bacteria
Description: partial 16S ribosomal RNA
Rfam family: Bacterial small subunit ribosomal RNA
Source: RNAcentral